RNAcentral lists this ribosomal RNA (426 nucleotides) under uncultured bacterium. Its description in RNAcentral is "bacterial SSU rRNA". It matches the Rfam family "Bacterial small subunit ribosomal RNA", at positions 354 to 777 of the family's 1533-position model. The record is from RNAcentral.
GUGAGGAAUAUUGGUCAAUGGACGCGAGUCUGAACCAGCCAAGUAGCGUGAAGGAUGACUGCCCUAUGGGUUGUAAACUUCUUUUAUAUGGGAAUAAAGUUGUCCACGUGUGGAUUUUUGUAUGUACCAUAUGAAUAAGGAUCGGCUAACUCCGUGCCAGCAGCCGCGGUAAUACGGAGGAUCCGAGCGUUAUCCGGAUUUAUUGGGUUUAAAGGGAGCGUAGGCGGAUUGUUAAGUCAGUUGUGAAAGUUUGCGGCUCAACCGUAAAAUUGCAGUUGAUACUGGCAGUCUUGAGUGCAGUAGAGGUGGGCGGAAUUCGUGGUGUAGCGGUGAAAUGCUUAGAUAUCACGAAGAACUCCGAUUGCGAAGGCAGCUCACUGGAGUGUAACUGACGCUGAUGCUCGAAAGUGUGGGUAUCAAACAGGA